Molecule: long non-coding RNA, 6086 nt
Filed under: Zostera marina
Lineage: Eukaryota; Viridiplantae; Streptophyta; Magnoliopsida; Alismatales; Zosteraceae
Description: long non-coding RNA (ZMAR_LNC004316)
Source: RNAcentral
GAGGAAGAGUUUGGGGAAAGCGAGGAAACCAGAUGCAGCCCGACCAAGACCAGAGCUGCAACGUCGGCACGACCAGUUCGCACGAGACGGGGGACCAGGAGCAACGACUUCGAUUAUUCUUGAUUCUGUUGUUAGUUAAAUCUCUGUGUAGUUAGAAUAAUGAACUGAAAAUAAUUGCUUAGGUCAACUAUGUAAUUAGAAGACAAAUAUAAAUACUAAGGAGAUCGCAGGAGUCGAUAUCCAUUUUUUUGAGAAAGUAAUUCCAGUUUCCCCCUCCGGCUCCUUAGGGAGACUUCUUUUCCAACCUCCGGCUUCCGUUCUGGAAAAUUUCCUCGACGACGACGAGUAACGUGUUACAUUGGUGCUUUCUUGAGCCGGAUAAUUCCCCUCUUAGGACGACGAUUAUCACAGUCGGGAAUGACUUUAAAAAUUUACGAUUUUACAGGACAUAUUCCAAGCCUUAAUUGGAUCCGCAACAGGGGAGCAAGAUCAAUUUAGUCAUAGAACUUUCAAACUAUUUUUUGUAAUUUCCAAACUGUAUUGACAAUGGCAGAUGGUGACGAGACAAAUAGCAAGGUAGAAGAAAUUCGGCAGGAGUUGGGAAUAGCUCUGACGGAUCAAACAUCUCGAUUGACAGAGGUAACAAGACGAAAAGAUGCGUCAAUCGCGAAUCCGGCAGAACAAAUCACGGAUCUGUCCGAGGUAAUUCGUGAUUUACAGGCAACAAUCGGAGGCCAAAGAGGCCAGGGGGGUCAGGGAGAGGUGGAUGCAGCACUAAGAGCCACACGCGCAAUCAAACUCGACCUUCCGAAAUUUUCGGGUAUCGAUUCAAAAGGUUGGAUUUACCAAGCUGAAGAAUACUUUACAUUCCAUGGCAUAUUCGAUGAUUUCAGAAUUCAAAUUGUUGGGUUUCACAUGACGCGGGGGGCAUUGGGAUGGAUACGAGGGCUCCGACGCAACAAUUUGCUAACAACGUGGGAACGGUUCAUAGAAGAUAUGAGAGAAAGAUUUGGGGACAACGCAUUUGAGGAUAAAUUGCAAGAUCCGUCAAACGGCAUCGGUGGCAAGCUACCUAGAGAAAUUUGAAGAACUGUUGAAUGAAAUCAUCAGACAGAGCGAGGCAUCCUUGAUCAGCUUUUUCAUUAGUGGGCUUAAGCCAGAACUGAAAAGCGAGCUCAAUCUGGUCAAACCGACGAUACUCCGGCGAGCAUUCACGCUAGCUAAAGCACGCGAGGCUCACGGAAAUCCGGGACGAGAUGGGAAUUUUAACACCGAACCACUCAUUACAAAUCCACCAACUGGAGCAAAAGCAUUACCGAUAGUGUGAAAAAUGUUGACAGUUGAAGAACGGAAAGAGCGGUCGGCCAAAGGAUUAGGCUUUAACUGUGAUGAAUCCUAUAUUCCAGGACACAAAUGCAAGAGCCGCUUAUUCCGGAUGGAUGCGAAAGGAGAAUGCUUGGUGGAGAUUCUGGACCAAAUGGGGGAGGACGAUUCAAACACAAAUACAAACGAAUCUUCAACAACCACAGAAAUCAGUUUACAUGCAUUCGCGGGAACAUUCAACCCACGCACAAUCAGACUAACAAGGUGGGUACAAGGUCGACCGUUAUCAGUACUCAUUGACAGUGGGAGCACCCACAAUUUCAUACAGGAAUCGGUAGUGAAUCGACUUGGGUUCGAUAUACAAUCCUUACCAAAAUUUCAUGUUUUUAUCAGAAGUGGUGAGUUUUUGGUUUGUAAAGAAAUGUGCAGGCAGGUUGCAAUAACAAUUCAAAAUACAGCAAUCGUGGAAGAUUUAUUCGUACUGCCCAUGGAUGGCGCAAAUAUUGUGUUGGGGAUUCAGUGGCUAGAAAAACUGGGGGCAGUUACGACAAAUCAUAAAGAAUUGACUAUGGAGUUUGCAAAUGGGAAUAAAAAAAUUCUAUUUCAAGGUGAUCCCCAUUUGGCAGAAACGGAAAUUACCAAAUCUGGGCUACGUCGGUUGGUGGCAAGAAAAGAAGUUGCAUACUUUUAUCAUUUAAGGAGUGAAAACUUGGAUCCAGGGGAAACCAGUCCAGUACCGGGUCUAGCAGAAGUGUUAAAAGAAUUUAAAUACGUGUUAGCUGAACCAAAUAGCCUUCCACCGGAUCGAAUUACAAACCACCGAAUUGCACUUAUACCAGGAUCAGAACCGGUCAAUGUCCACCCGUACCGGUAUCCACAUUUUCAGAAAGAUGAAAUCGAGAAGUUAACGACCGAGAUGUUAAAACAAGGCCUAAUCAGACACAGCAUAAGCCCGUUCUUAUCACUAGUAUUGUUGGUGAAAAAGAAAGACAGAAGUUGGCGGCUUUGUGUCGACUACCCGACACUAAACGCGAUUACUGUCCGGGAUAGAUUUCCAAUUCCCACCAUGGACGAGUUACUCGAUGAGCUUCAUGGGGCGGCGGUAUUUUCAAAAUUAGAUCUGCGUGCAGGUUACCAUCAGAUCCGGAUCGCGGAAGACGAUAUCGAAAAAUCCGCGUUCAGAACACAUCAGGGCCACUACGAAUUUACGUAAUGCCCUUCGGCCUAUCCAACGCACCGGCAACCUUUCAAGCCACAAUGAAUCAACUAUUUCAGCCUUGGUUGCGGAAAUUCGCCAUCGUGUUCUUUGACGAUAUUUUGGUAUACAACAAAUCACGAGAUGAACAUCAAAGCCAUCUAAUCACGGUGUUCAAUUUACUAAGACAACACUCGUUUUUUGUACGAGAAACUAAAUGUGCCUUCGGGUUGGAAGAACUUUUGCAUAUUUGGGACACAUGAUUUCUACAAAAGGAGUGAAACCGGAUCCUGAAAAAAUCAGCGCAGUGAGCAAUUUACCGGAGCCCAUCAACGUUAGGCAAACAAGAGCAUUCCUCGGCCUAACAGGCCGCUACUAUCGGAAAUUUGUGGCGCAAUAUGCACAGGUGGCAGCACCACUCACGAAUUUGCUACGGAAAGAUGGGUUCAAGUGGUCCGAUGAGGCCAGAAAAGCAUUUGUACAAUUAAAAGAAGCACUCACCACGGCACCGAUACUCGCAUUUCCAAAUUUUGAAUUACCAUUCGUAGUCGAAACCGACGCUUGCGACAUUGGGAUUGGGGCGGUGUUAUUGCAAUUAGAACACCCAAUAGCUUAUUUCAGCCGAAAAAUAUCACUAUUAUGACAAAGAGGGUCGACUUAUUCAAAAGAAUUAUGGGCUUUGACAGAAUCCGUACAUAAAUGGCGUCAUUAUCUACCAGGGAGGGAAUUCAUCAUAAGAACGGAUCACUGUAGCCUCAAAAAUCUGUUAGCAUAAUCAAUCCAGUCACCCGAGCAACAAUAUUUUUUAACACGGUUGCUGGGAUUUUCAUUUAAAAUUGUGUACAAAAGGGGUAAAGACAACGUGGUAGCGGACGCCUUGUCACGUUCUCCGGCAACAGAAGCAGAGGCAGAAGUCGGGUUACUGUCCCGAUUAACCAGCGUGGCAAAAUCAGACUGGGGGGAGCGGAUGCACGAAGAAAACAGAUUAGACCCAUAGCUUGUAAAAAAAAAAAACAAGUACAACAAGGAGAGUCCGAUCCAGAUUAUGAAAUUAAAGAAAAUAUUUUAUAUUUCAGAAACAGAUUUUGUUUGGGGACAAUAUCGGAACUAAGGAGGAAAGUGCUCGAUGAAUUGCACGGAUCGAAGGCAGGAGGACAUUCUGGAUUUUUUCGCACACUACAUCGUGUUCGGCAGAGGUUCGCAAGGUAUGAACAAAUUCAUCAAAGAAUUUGUAGCUCAAUGCAUUACAUGUCAGCAAAUAAAAGCAAUCGUGCUCAAGCCAAUGGGGUUACUCCAGCCACUACCCAUUCCGGUUGCGAUUUGGGAAGAUAUAUGCAUGGAUUUUGUGACUGGGUUGCCAGCAGUUCGCGGUCAUUCGGUCAUCAUCGUGGUCGUGGACAGGCUAACAAAAUACUGCCAUUUAGGGAGCUUGCCGGCUAACUAUUCGGCAACAUCAGCAACGGACUAUUUUAUUAAACAAAUAAUCCGGCUACACGGGAUUCCGAAGACCAUUGUCUCCGACCGCGACAAAAUUUUCUUGAACAGAUUUUGGAAGAAAUUUUUCGCAAGAUGUGGCACAACCCUAAAAAUGACGUCGGCAUAUCACCCAGAGUCCGACGGCCAAUCCGAGACAGUUAGCAAAACUAUCGAACAAUACCUCAGAGCAAUGGUUCACGAAAAUCAAAGAAAUUGGAUCGAAUUGCUCGCAUGGACAGAGCUCUGGUAUAAUAUAUCAUUUCACCAGAGUUUGGAAACGAUGCCAUUUCAAGCCGUGUAUGGCCGGCCACCACCGGAGAUGAUCGAUUACCGGGCGGGAGAUUCUAAUAUUGAGGCAGUGGAUGUAUUGUUGAACCAACGCGAUGCACUUUUAAAAAAUCUAAAAAUUAAUCUCCAAGCUGCACAAGACAGGAUGAAGAAGUAUGCCGACCUCAAACGACGACCAUUUGAAUUCGAGGAAGGAGAAUGGGUUUGGCUCAAGCUACAGCCGUAUAGGCAAAACUCAGUUCAUCGAUGAACCUGCCUCAAACUGUCGAAACGUUUUUAUAGACCAUUUGUAAUUGAGAAGAAGAUUAGUGUCGUGGCCUAUCGACUUAAGUUACCACCGGGGAGUUUGAUAUUUCCGAUAUUCCAUAUCGCCUUACUAAAACCGUUUCAAGGAAAGCAGCCGGGAGAUCUCAUUAGUCCACUGUCACCACUAAAUAAAGAAUCACAUCCAGUAGUCUGCCUGGAUAAAAUAGUGGCAUAUAGAAGCAUCAAACGACGGGGAAAAGCAAUUAAUCAAGUACUAAUAGAGUGGGCAGGACUUCCACCAGAUGACAGAUCGUGGGAGGAUUUAGAAGACAUCAAACGACUAACCGCGGAUUCCAAUCUUGAGGACAAGAUUAAAUCAGAUGGGGGGAGGGAUGUAACAAUCACUCUGGAUCUACAUACCGUAGUGGCUAGACUACAAGAAGAAUUGGAGCUGAUGGAGAAAGAGUGUAACAGUUGCACUACAACUGGACUCGAUUGCAGCCCGACUCAAGGAGGAUCUAGGACUGGUGAGUCAAGAACCUGAGGAACGAGCUAAUGAACGGCCUAACAGAAUUAGGCCGGAAAAGAAGGACAAUAGCUUUGUAUACUAUUGAAUAAGUUGUUGUAAUCUAGUUAGUUACUUUGUUGUUAAUAUUGAAACUCUAUAAAUAAGAUAGCAUAAACUCAAGGGAGUUAUGCAACCAAUUCAGUCCUCUAAAAACUUCUCAUCUCCGGCUCCCAAUCCGGGAGAAUUCUGAUGACAGUGCAGUUCGACGGACUAACGUCGUAACAAAGAGUUUGGGGAAAGAGAGGAAACCUGAUGCAACCCGACCAAGACCGGAGCUGGAACGUCCGCACGACCAGUUCGCACGAGACGGGGGACCAGGAGCAACGACUUCGAUUAUUUUUUAUUCUGUUGUUAGUUAAAUCUCUGUGUAGUUAGAAUAAUGAACUGAAAAUAACUGCUUAGGCCAACAAUGUAAUUAGAAAACAAAUAUAAAUACUAAGGAGAUCGCAGGAGUCGAUAUCCAUUUUUUUGAGAAAGUAAUUCCAGUUUCCCUCUCCGGCUCUUUAAUUAGGGAGACAUCUUUUCCAACCUCCGACUUCCGUUCUGGAAGAUUUCCUCCAACGACUCGUCGACGACGACAAGUAACGUGUUACACCUACUUUUGGAAUUGCAAAUUAGUAAGAUGGGGGGAGAGCUGCAACAAAUCAAAGCUACUGUUACAAACAACUUGAAGUGGACUGCAAUAUAGGAAGAAGCGAUGUUAUUUCGUGCAAACUAGAACCAUUUUGCGAUUAUUUAAUUUGGCCGCCAUGAAGUGAUAUAUCAAAAACAUAAAAGAAUAUAUGGACAUUUAAAAAAUAACAUACCUAAAUAAGGAUGUUUUACCUUGACAUAUGCUCACAAAAGAGCUGAUGACUGUAGAUGUUGAAGGGAAAAAGGUGUGGAAACAGUCGGCGGCUAUUAUUGAAGACUAUUUUACAAAAAUUAAAAAAUAUAUAUAUUUAGAUGAAAUUGUCAAAUCUGAAAAAGUUUUAAAUUGAUAACAAUUCA